RNAcentral lists this ribosomal RNA (395 nucleotides) under Leptocylindrus sp. RNAcentral describes it as "partial small subunit ribosomal RNA". It matches the Rfam family "Eukaryotic small subunit ribosomal RNA", at positions 582 to 975 of the family's 1831-position model. Lineage: Eukaryota; Bacillariophyta; Leptocylindrophyceae; Leptocylindrales; Leptocylindraceae. The record is from RNAcentral.
AUUCCAGCUCCAAUAGCGUAUAUUAAAGUUGUUGCAGUUAAAAAGCUCGUAGUUGGAUUUCUGGUGCAUUCCACUGGCCUAUUGGUUAACUCCAACUUGGCUCAUUUGGAAUACGCCAUCUUUAGGCAGACCCGUCGUGGCAUUAGGUUGUCGUGAUGGUUACGCCUAUCGUUUACUGUGAAGAAAUUAGGGUGUUCAAAGCAGGCUUAUGCCAUGAAUACGUUAGCAUGGAAUAAUGAGAUAGGAUUUCGGUACUAUUUUGUUGGUUUGUGUACGGAAAUAAUGAUUAACAGGAACAGUGUUGUGGGUAUUCGUAUUUCGUUGUCAGAGGUGAAAUUCUUGGACUUACGAAAGACGAACGACUGCGAAAGCAUUUACCAAGGAUGUUUUCAUCG